GAUGAACGCUGGCGGCGUGCCUAACACAUGCAAGUCGAGCGAAGCACUUUGCUUGGAUUCUUCGGAUGAAGAGGAUUGUGACUGAGCGGCGGACGGGUGAGUAACGCGUGGGUAACCUGCCUCAUACAGGGGGAUAACAGUUAGAAAUCAUUGCUAAUACCGCAUAUGCCAUAGAUAUCACAUGAUAACAGUGGGAAAGGAGCAAUCCGCUAAUAGAUGGCCUUGCGUCUGAUUAGAUAGUUGGUGGGGUAACGGCCUACCAAGUCGACGAUCAGUAGCCGGACUGAGAGGUUGAACGGCCACAUUGGGACUGAGAUACGGCCCAG
RNAcentral lists this ribosomal RNA (326 nucleotides) under uncultured bacterium. Its description in RNAcentral is "bacterial SSU rRNA". It matches the Rfam family "Bacterial small subunit ribosomal RNA", at positions 28 to 334 of the family's 1533-position model. The record is from RNAcentral.